GACGAACGCUGGCGGCGUGCUUAACACAUGCAAGUCGAACGGAAAGGCCCUGCUUUUGUGGGGUGCUCGAGUGGCGAACGGGUGAGUAACACGUGAGUAACCUGCCCUUGACUUUGGGAUAACUUCAGGAAACUGGGGCUAAUACCGGAUAGGAGCUCCUGCUGCAUGGUGGGGGUUGGAAAGUUUCGGCGGUUGGGGAUGGACUCGCGGCUUAUCAGCUUGUUGGUGGGGUAGUGGCUUACCAAGGCUUUGACGGAUAGCCGGCCUGAGAGGGUGACCGGCCACAUUGGGACUGAGAUACGGACCAGACUCCUACGGGAGGCAGCAGUGGGGAAUAUUGCCCAAUGGGCGGAAGCCUGAUGCAGAGACGCCGCGGGCGGGAUGCCGGCCUUCGGGUUGUAAACCGCUUUCGCCUGUGACGAAGCGUGAGUGACGGUAAUGGGUAAAGAAGCACCGGCUAACUACGUG
RNAcentral lists this ribosomal RNA (468 nucleotides) under uncultured bacterium. Its description in RNAcentral is "partial 16S ribosomal RNA". It matches the Rfam family "Bacterial small subunit ribosomal RNA", at positions 28 to 507 of the family's 1533-position model. The record is from RNAcentral.